AAAAGGACAAUUUUUGGGAGUGUUAAUCAUAGAAAAGUAGGAUAUAAGAUGCUUUUUGACAAGAGGAAAAUUCAUGUGCUUUUUUUCACAUUGAACAGAAAUCUGAGAGGCCUGUAAACUGCCCAGUACACCUGGAAAGAUGAUGAGAAUAUAACAUAGGACAACACAGGAGGAGGAAAGAACACCUUCACUGCACUCACAGCCACUGAAAUACCCAAGUGCCUUUGCAGAGUCUGAUGAUAGAGCAGUUCUUGUGCUAGCACACAAAUGCAAAAUGCACAGGUGGAAUUAAUAUUGAAAAUACCUGGAUUUAUAUUGACUGUGAUUUCACAUUGCAGUGGCAAGGCAAAAACCUGAGUAAAAAGAAAGUGUCAGUGAUGUUAUAAACAAAAGAUUAGUCAGCAAGUACUGACUCUGCAUCCACAGGUGGACUCUGUGUGAGAUAAUGCAGAAUCAGAACAUUUGCAAGGAUUUCAUGCAGACACUCCAAACGCUUGCUGUAGCAGACAAAUGUCUGGCACUAGUGUACAAAAAAAAAAAAAAAAAGGGGUAGUUCCUAGCUGGUUCUUUUUUAAAAGUAAUUUCCUUUAGCCUAGGGCUUUAAGAUUUAGGAUUCACUUUUCUGUGUAAGUGUGUGGAACAGCAGAACAGAAUAAGUCCAUAUAAGUCCUGGGCCCCUUACAAAAACAUGUUUUACUGUGUUAAAAGCACUUACCACCUGAAUUCUGAAUUUAACAUUAGAGUAUUGUCUAAGUCUGGUCUUUCAGGUUUUCUGUGUUAUUUAGUACAUCCAUCUAAGUCAAUCCAGUCUGAAGAAGAACUACAUGAAUCCCUAGUAAAAUACAAAAUGUACACCAGCUUGCUAAACAUAUUUUAAAAAAAAAUAAUUGAAAUGGUCUUUUCAUUAACUCCUAGAUUUUAUGUGUUUCUACAGGCUCAUAAGAUUUUAAGAAAGAAAUCAAUUCAGUGCUAAUAAUACUUUUUCUUCCUUCCAUUUAAAUUUGGUACUAGAGGAAACUUCUGUGUCUUACAUCGUUGGCAUAAUUUCUGACAAGUAUGUAUAAUGAGACUGGAAGACAAACAAUUCUCAAAAAUAAUAUUCCUCCCUCUGAAGUUUGCAGUUGUGAUGUUCAUGACAUUGAUGUUUUCACUGUGUGUUCUCCAAGUCUGUAUCCUGUAUGUUCUGAUUGGGCUGCCCUGAUACCCUGGUUCUGAGAAGCUGGUUUUUUAUGUUUACAUGAAACUAGUCCAAGCUCGAAGCCAAGUUCUGUCUGCAAUUCUGUAUUCUGAGAGGGGAAAAAGUAGCUGUUGAUUAAAGGCUCAUCUUCAAAUACAUGUAUUUUUGAACGCCUCAUUUUCACAGAUUGUGCAGCGUUGUGUCCGUGAACUUCCAGGGUUUGCAUUAAAAAGUGACAGAACAUCAGAGUGCCAGAAGCUUCUCAUAUUGUGGCCCUGAAGUUCCGCAGAGAUCCCUGUUCAUUUGUACAAACUCAUCGUUGGACUUUGAUACAUGCACAUGUAAGCAUCACAGAGCAGUCUUCGUGCACAUCCUUGGAUUUUUCUGGAAUCCAGUGAGUGUAAUUCUUCUAGAGACAUCUUCAGAUAUUCGCCAACUUCUGGACAUGGGGUAACUUGUGGAAUGUUGAAGCCAUUCUGACCUCCUUUUAAACCAUAAGGAAAGAAGGAGAAACGUAUUAGGAUAGCAUCUGCAUAUAUCUGCUCUUUAUCAUGUACUUUAAUUAUGACAGCAUCACUAGUUCUUGAAAAUGCCUUCUAAAAAGCCUAAAUAUGCCCCUUUGGACAUAUUUAGGUAAUACCUGCAGGGUAAACUUCUAUAGAAGGUGCAUUGUUCAAGAAAUCACAAUUAAUGUCAGAAUAUCUUGUAGUGUUUACUAACAAACCACACACA
Myiozetetes cayanensis is the source of this 1909-nucleotide long non-coding RNA. RefSeq lists it as uncharacterized. The record is from RefSeq and is a predicted model, not a curated record. The transcript is spliced from 7 exons. NCBI's taxonomy places the organism in Eukaryota, Metazoa, Chordata, Aves, Passeriformes, Tyrannidae.